CACAAGCUAAUCUGGGACGACACUUUACGCACAAGCAUUAUGCCCAGUUUUCUCAGAACGCGGAUAAUUUGAUACGUUCAAAUGGUUAGAUUAUUGAUUCGGCGUUUCCCCUAACGAAGCCGCAUUUUUCCCGGCGGAAAAACACGCACACUUACAAUUCUGCGCUCAGCGGCGGUCAAUACGCAUCGGUCGCCGGAAACACGGAGUCCGAUGCAAUUUCACUUGUCAAUACCAAAAUGCAUCUACAUUGGUUUGUCAUCAUCAGGGAAAUAUGUUAAACAGAUUCUUGAUUUCAGAAAAGAAGUAAGACAAGGUGCCUGUACCACGUGACUUUUUCGGCUAUGUGUGGGACAAUCGGAUGUCAACAAACCAUCGCUUCAGACUUGACAAGGAUUAGACACGGAAGGUGUUAUGUGGCAAGUUAAUUAUCAAAACCACAGUGACAGAGACGGACCCAGCUUCAUUCUGUGAUGUUAACGGAAAGCUAUUUCAACUAACUAUGCAAACAUACCAUUUAAUAUGUAUUUUGGCAUAAUCAAAACAAAGUGUGUGUAUUGAUAUUUGUGUAUAUUUAUGUGUUUUGUAUCUAUGUUAUUAAUGAAAUUGAUUAGAUGAAUAUAAAAUCUGAGUAUAUAUGUUAAUAAAACAAUUGUUUCAUAACAAAUAACAAUAUAAAUCCAA
Molecule: long non-coding RNA, 681 nt
Organism: Dreissena polymorpha
Lineage: Eukaryota; Metazoa; Mollusca; Bivalvia; Myida; Dreissenidae
Exons: 2
Source: RefSeq, a predicted model, not a curated record